UGCAGUCGAACGGGAACUCUGGAUUCGUCUGGGGGGGAGAGUGGCGAACGGGUGAGUAACACGUAGGCGACCUGCCCCGAAGACGGGGAUAACCACUAGAAAUGGUGGCUAAUACCCGAUGUGCUCGGCGAUUCAUUUCGUCGAGUAAAGCUUUGGCGCUUCGGGAGGGGCCUGCGACCUAUCAGCUAGUUGGUAGGGUAACGGCCUACCAAGGCGAAGACGGGUAGGGGGCGUGAGAGCGCGACCCCCCACACUGGCAUUGAGACACGGGCCAGACUCCUACGGGAGGCAGCAGUCGGGGAUAUUGCGCAAUGGACGAAAGUCUGACGCAGCGACGCCGCGUGGGCGAUGAAGGCCUUCGGGUUGUAAAGCCCUUUUAUGGGGGAAGAGACAAGGACGGUACCCCAAGAAUAAGCGUCGGCUAACUACGUGCCAGCAGCCGCGGUAAAACGGUGGGGCGCGAGCGUUAUCCGGAUUUACUUGGGCGUAAAGGUGCGUUGAGGCGGUUCCGGUAAGUUGGACCGUGAAAGCCCCUGGCUCAACUGGGGGAGGUCGUUCAAUACUUGCCGGAACUUUGAGGGACAGCCUGAAGGGAGGUCGGAAUUCCCGGGUGUACCGGGU
RNAcentral lists this ribosomal RNA (621 nucleotides) under uncultured bacterium. Its description in RNAcentral is "bacterial SSU rRNA". It matches the Rfam family "Bacterial small subunit ribosomal RNA", at positions 56 to 683 of the family's 1533-position model. The record is from RNAcentral.